AUGUAAAUAGCACAUUAAUUGAAUUUCCCCAUGAUAUGGUAGUAGAUUGAAAAGUGCUGCUGAAACAACUAGCCUGGAGAGACAACUAAUACAAAGAUCUAUAGCAGAAGCAUCACAAACAUCUGUGGGAAGGAACAGAAAGUUUUCCAUGCGUCAUGGAGGAAACCAUCUGGAAAAUGAAAAGGAAAUGAUGGCAGUUGUGAAAACACAUCAAGGAUAGCUAACGUGAAAUGACGGGAUCCAGCCAACUCAAGGGAUUUUGUUUAACUACUUAAAAGAGAUAUCAAAGGCUUUAUGACAUCUUGCUGCUGCAUCUUCAAAUCUACCGCUAUAGGCAUGAGAUCUAAAAACUCAUUGCCAGGACUUUGGUCUGAAGGCACAUAAAGCCGUCACCUUGCUGAAGCUAAGCAAGUUAGAAUCUGAUCAGUGACUGACUGGAAGACGUCCUGGGUAACCAAAAGGUGUCACCGUGAGUUUGACUGAAGAACAGUAAGA
This is a long non-coding RNA of Rhineura floridana, 495 nucleotides long. RefSeq lists it as uncharacterized. NCBI's taxonomy places the organism in Eukaryota, Metazoa, Chordata, Lepidosauria, Squamata, Rhineuridae. The transcript is spliced from 3 exons. The record is from RefSeq and is a predicted model, not a curated record.